AGUGGACGCUGGCGGUAGGCCUAACACAUGCAAGUCGAACGGCAGCACAGUAAGAGCUUGCUCUUACGGGUGGCGAGUGGCGGACGGGUGAGGAAUACAUCGGAAUCUACUUUUUCGUGGGGGAUAACGUAGGGAAACUUACGCUAAUACCGCAUACGACCUACGGGUGAAAGCAGGGGAUCUUCGGACCUUGCGCGAUUGAAUGAGCCGAUGUCGGAUUAGCUAGUUGGCGGGGUAAAGGCCCACCAAGGCGACGAUCCGUAGCUGGUCUGAGAGGAUGAUCAGCCACACUGGAACUGAGACACGGUCCAGACUCCUACGGGAGGCAGCAGUGGGGAAUAUUGGACAAUGGGCGCAAGCCUGAUCCGGCCAUACCGCGUGGGUGAAGAAGGCCUUCGGGUUGUAAAGCCCUCUUGUUGGGAAAGAAAGGCAGCAGGUUAAUACCCCGCUGUUCUGACGGUACCCAAAGAAUAAGCACCGGCUAACUUCGUG
This 492-nucleotide ribosomal RNA is filed under the name uncultured bacterium. RNAcentral's name for it is "partial 16S ribosomal RNA". It matches the Rfam family "Bacterial small subunit ribosomal RNA", at positions 29 to 507 of the family's 1533-position model. The record is from RNAcentral.